This 89-nucleotide microRNA precursor is filed under the name Lucilia cuprina (Australian sheep blowfly). RNAcentral's name for it is "mir-316 microRNA precursor family". It matches the Rfam family "mir-316 microRNA precursor family". The record is from Rfam by way of RNAcentral. Lineage: Eukaryota; Metazoa; Arthropoda; Insecta; Diptera; Calliphoridae.
AGAUUCUAGUUGAUUUGUCUUUUUCCGCUUACUGGCGCUGUUAUUUAAAGACGACAGGAAAGGGAAAAAGGCGUAUAGACUAAGAAGAC